This 1009-nucleotide ribosomal RNA is filed under the name Klebsiella pneumoniae. Its description in RNAcentral is "bacterial SSU rRNA". It matches the Rfam family "Bacterial small subunit ribosomal RNA", at positions 1 to 1001 of the family's 1533-position model. The record is from RNAcentral. Lineage: Bacteria; Pseudomonadati; Pseudomonadota; Gammaproteobacteria; Enterobacterales; Enterobacteriaceae.
AAAUUGAAGAGUUUGAUCAUGGCUCAGAUUGAACGCUGGCGGCAGGCCUAACACAUGCAAGUCGAGCGGUAGCACAGAGAGCUUGCUCUCGGGUGACGAGCGGCGGACGGGUGAGUAAUGUCUGGGAAACUGCCUGAUGGAGGGGGAUAACUACUGGAAACGGUAGCUAAUACCGCAUAAUGUCGCAAGACCAAAGUGGGGGACCUUCGGGCCUCAUGCCAUCAGAUGUGCCCAGAUGGGAUUAGCUAGUAGGUGGGGUAACGGCUCACCUAGGCGACGAUCCCUAGCUGGUCUGAGAGGAUGACCAGCCACACUGGAACUGAGACACGGUCCAGACUCCUACGGGAGGCAGCAGUGGGGAAUAUUGCACAAUGGGCGCAAGCCUGAUGCAGCCAUGCCGCGUGUGUGAAGAAGGCCUUCGGGUUGUAAAGCACUUUCAGCGGGGAGGAAGGCGUUAAGGUUAAUAACCUUGGCGAUUGACGUUACCCGCAGAAGAAGCACCGGCUAACUCCGUGCCAGCAGCCGCGGUAAUACGGAGGGUGCAAGCGUUAAUCGGAAUUACUGGGCGUAAAGCGCACGCAGGCGGUCUGUCAAGUCGGAUGUGAAAUCCCCGGGCUCAACCUGGGAACUGCAUUCGAAACUGGCAGGCUAGAGUCUUGUAGAGGGGGGUAGAAUUCCAGGUGUAGCGGUGAAAUGCGUAGAGAUCUGGAGGAAUACCGGUGGCGAAGGCGGCCCCCUGGACAAAGACUGACGCUCAGGUGCGAAAGCGUGGGGAGCAAACAGGAUUAGAUACCCUGGUAGUCCACGCCGUAAACGAUGUCGAUUUGGAGGUUGUGCCCUUGAGGCGUGGCUUCCGGAGCUAACGCGUUAAAUCGACCGCCUGGGGAGUACGGCCGCAAGGUUAAAACUCAAAUGAAUUGACGGGGGCCCGCACAAGCGGUGGAGCAUGUGGUUUAAUUCGAUGCAACGCGAAGAACCUUACCUGGUCUUGACAUCCACAGAACUUUCC